This 252-nucleotide ribosomal RNA is filed under the name uncultured bacterium. RNAcentral describes it as "partial 16S ribosomal RNA". It matches the Rfam family "Bacterial small subunit ribosomal RNA", at positions 524 to 776 of the family's 1533-position model. The record is from RNAcentral.
UACGUAGGUGGCAAGCGUUAUCCGGAAUUAUUGGGCGUAAAGAGGGAGCAGGCGGUUUAUUAAGUCUGGUGUAAAAGGCAGUGGCUCAACCAUUGUAUGCAUUGGAAACUGGUAGACUUGAGUGCAGGAGAGGAGAGUGGAAUUCCAUGUGUAGCGGUGAAAUGCGUAGAUAUAUGGAGGAACACCGGUGGCGAAAGCGGCUCUCUGGCCUGUAACUGACACUGAGGCUCGAAAGCGUGGGGAGCAAACAGG